RNAcentral lists this transfer RNA (74 nucleotides) under Candidatus Methanophagaceae archaeon SCGC AAA252-L18. Its description in RNAcentral is "tRNA-Pro". It matches the Rfam family "tRNA". From Rfam's summary of the family: Transfer RNA (tRNA) molecules are approximately 80 nucleotides in length. Their secondary structure includes four short double-helical elements and three loops (D, anti-codon, and T loops). RNAcentral also lists the same sequence under 13 other names. The record is from RNAcentral. Lineage: Archaea; Methanobacteriati; Methanobacteriota; Methanomicrobia; Candidatus Methanophagales; Candidatus Methanophagaceae.
GGGGCAGUAGGGUAGCCAGGUUAUCCUCGUGGCUUUGGGAGCCAUGGACCCCAGUUCAAAUCUGGGCUGCCCCA